CACGUAGGGGGCGAGCGUUGUCCGGAAUUACUGGGCGUAAAGGGCGCGCAGGCUGUUAUGCGAGUCUGCUGUGAAAUGUACCGGCUCAACCGGUGCCUUGCGGCGGAUACUGCAUAGCUGGAGUACUGGAGAGGGAAGUGGAAUUCCCAGUGUAGCGGUGAAAUGCGUAGAUAUCGGGAGGAACACCGGUGGCGAAGGCGGCUUUCUGGCCAGUUACUGACGCUCAUGCGCGAAAGCUGGGGUAGCGAACCGGAUUAGAUACCCCCGUA
RNAcentral lists this ribosomal RNA (269 nucleotides) under uncultured prokaryote. RNAcentral describes it as "partial 16S ribosomal RNA". It matches the Rfam family "Bacterial small subunit ribosomal RNA", at positions 524 to 792 of the family's 1533-position model. The record is from RNAcentral.